UUACUGAUCAGGGCCCAGAGGGAGGUGGGAAGAUAUGCAGGGCUUCACGGUUGCCAAGAGGAUGAAAGUCACAAGUGGGCGUGGCAGGGCUUUGUUCCUUCUGAAGCUCAGGACAAAGCACUGGGCUUCCCUCCUGCCUGGGAGCCUUCAGGACGGCAUGGAGUUUGGCCACGUGGUGGGAGCGCCCUGAGUGCGUGGCACAGAGUGUUCAACUGGUCACCUCUCCUGAGCCUCACAGCCUCUCAAGGAAGAUCUGAGGAGGAAACUGAGGCCCACCCCCACCCAGACUGAGGGGAAGGACUCACUGCAAGUGGCCUCGGACUCAUCGGAGCCGUCAGGACACUCCUCCUCGCCGUCACACUUCCACCGUUCGUGGAUGCAGUGGCCGUUGUCACAGGGAGAAGAAGACAAAAGGCGGUGAGGAGGAGCAACAAGAAGUCGUAAUGUAUGAAGAACCUGCAGCAGACUCAGGAACAUGGCAGAUGCUGGAGAAGUGGCAGCUACUGUUGUUUUCAGGGUUUGAGUCUUAAUUAGAAGCUGAAGGAAUGGGGUUCUGUGUCCACACAGGGGAAGUAGCAGGCUGAGAGCUCACAGCUGGUUACGGAGCUGAGAUAAGAAUGCAGCAGCCCUAGGCCUCUGAAUUAUUGGGGGCUCAUCUGCAUCAAAUCUGCAUUGAACUCACACAUGCCCUGUUCCUGCUGGACCAAGCAUCCAGGACCCGCUACAGAACAAGGUGAGGAAGAGAGCACUGGGCAGGGAGUCCGGAGGUCUGGAUUUGAGUCACUGCUGUGCUAUUUUGCUCUGUAUCCUCAAGCAUAUCAUGGCCCUUUUCCGGCCUACAGUUUCUUCAUCAGGAAAAGAGAGGGUGAUCUGGUGAGAGAUAAGCUUUCAGGUGUGGUAGCUCGAGAUCAGGAGGCCCAGAAAUGAAGAUGGCAGGGGGGUCUCUUUUCAGCCUAAAAGAGGAUACCUCAGCACAGCAGUGACUUACCCCAGGCCUUGGGGCGCUCAGACCACCAAAGUCCUCUCCUGGAAUGAGCUUGGGAUGGAUUUAACAUCAGGGGCCACUAGGAUGUGGCCUCUCCCCAGGGGCUUAGAAGUCCCGUGGCCCCAGCCUGCCCCGCUCCCUCAUCUUCCCCUCCUCAUACUUCCCAAUCUAGCCCCACCUCAACUGCCGGUAGGUCCUCAUAUACUCCAUGCUUUUUAUACCAUCAUACCUUGCCCAAGCUGUCUUUAGUCUGAAAGCCCCUUCCCCCACCUCUCGCCUUCUUUCCAUUACACACUGGGCUUAAGUAUCA
Molecule: long non-coding RNA, 1295 nt
Organism: Pan troglodytes (chimpanzee)
Lineage: Eukaryota; Metazoa; Chordata; Mammalia; Primates; Hominidae
Exons: 5
Source: RefSeq, a predicted model, not a curated record